GAUUAAGUUAUUAAGGGCGCACGGUGGAUGCCUUGGCACUAGAAGCCGAUGAAGGACGUUACUAACGACGAUAUGCUUUGGGGAGCUGUAAGUAAGCUUUGAUCCAGAGAUUUCCGAAUGGGGAAACCCAGCAUGAGUUAUGUCAUGUUAUCGAUAUGUGAAUACAUAGCAUAUCAGAAGGCACACCCGGAGAACUGAAACAUCUUAGUACCCGGAGGAAGAGAAAGAAAAUUCGAUUCCCUUAGUAGCGGCGAGCGAAACGGGAAGAGCCCAAACCAACAAGCUUGCUUGUUGGGGUUGUAGGACACUCUAUACGGAGUUACAAAGGACGACAUUAGACGAAUCAUCUGGAAAGAUGAAUCAAAGAAGGUAAUAAUCCUGUAGUCGAAAAUGUUGUCUCUCUUGAGUGGAUCCUGAGUACGACGGAGCACGUGAAAUUCCGUCGGAAUCUGGGAGGACCAUCUCCUAAGGCUAAAUACUCUCUAGUGACCGAUAGUGAACCAGUACCGUGAGGGAAAGGUGAAAAGCACCCCGGAAGGAGAGUGAAAUAGAACCUGAAACCGUGUGCUUACAAGUAGUCAGAGCCCGUUAAUGGGUGAUGGCGUGCCUUUUGUAGAAUGAACCGGCGAGUUACGAUUUGAUGCAAGGUUAAGCAGUAAAUGUGGAGCCGUAGCGAAAGCGAGUCUGAAUAGGGCGUUUAGUAUUUGGUCGUAGACCCGAAACCAGGUGAUCUACCCUUGGUCAGGUUGAAGUUCAGGUAACACUGAAUGGAGGACCGAACCGACUUACGUUGAAAAGUGAGCGGAUGAACUGAGGGUAGCGGAGAAAUUCCAAUCGAACCUGGAGAUAGCUGGUUCUCUCCGAAAUAGCUUUAGGGCUAGCCUCAAGUGAUGAUUAUUGGAGGUAGAGCACUGUUUGGACGAGGGGCCCCUCUCGGGUUACCGAAUUCAGACAAACUCCGAAUGCCAAUUAAUUUAACUUGGGAGUCAGAACAUGGGUGAUAAGGUCCGUGUUCGAAAGGGAAACAGCCCAGACCACCAGCUAAGGUCCCAAAAUAUAUGUUAAGUGGAAAAGGAUGUGGCGUUGCCCAGACAACUAGGAUGUUGGCUUAGAAGCAGCCAUCAUUUAAAGAGUGCGUAAUAGCUCACUAGUCGAGUGACACUGCGCCGAAAAUGUACCGGGGCUAAACAUAUUACCGAAGCUGUGGAUUGUCCUUUGGACAAUGGUAGGAGAGCGUUCUAAGGGCGUUGAAGCAUGAUCGUAAGGACAUGUGGAGCGCUUAGAAGUGAGAAUGCCGGUGUGAGUAGCGAAAGACGGGUGAGAAUCCCGUCCACCGAUUGACUAAGGUUUCCAGAGGAAGGCUCGUCCGCUCUGGGUUAGUCGGGUCCUAAGCUGAGGCCGACAGGCGUAGGCGAUGGAUAACAGGUUGAUAUUCCUGUACCACCUAUAAUCGUUUUAAUCGAUGGGGGGACGCAGUAGGAUAGGCGAAGCGUGCGAUUGGAUUGCACGUCUAAGCAGUAAGGCUGAGUAUUAGGCAAAUCCGGUACUCGUUAAGGCUGAGCUGUGAUGGGGAGAAGACAUUGUGUCUUCGAGUCGUUGAUUUCACACUGCCGAGAAAAGCCUCUAGAUAGAAAAUAGGUGCCCGUACCGCAAACCGACACAGGUAGUCAAGAUGAGAAUUCUAAGGUGAGCGAGCGAACUCUCGUUAAGGAACUCGGCAAAAUGACCCCGUAACUUCGGGAGAAGGGGUGCUCUUUAGGGUUAACGCCCAGAAGAGCCGCAGUGAAUAGGCCCAAGCGACUGUUUAUCAAAAACACAGGUCUCUGCUAAACCGUAAGGUGAUGUAUAGGGGCUGACGCCUGCCCGGUGCUGGAAGGUUAAGAGGAGUGGUUAGCUUCUGCGAAGCUACGAAUCGAAGCCCCAGUAAACGGCGGCCGUAACUAUAACGGUCCUAAGGUAGCGAAAUUCCUUGUCGGGUAAGUUCCGACCCGCACGAAAGGCGUAACGAUUUGGGCACUGUCUCAACGAGAGACUCGGUGAAAUCAUAGUACCUGUGAAGAUGCAGGUUACCCGCGACAGGACGGAAAGACCCCGUGGAGCUUUACUGUAGCCUGAUAUUGAAAUUCGGCACAGCUUGUACAGGAUAGGUAGGAGCCUUUGAAACGUGAGCGCUAGCUUACGUGGAGGCGCUGGUGGGAUACUACCCUAGCUGUGUUGGCUUUCUAACCCGCACCACUUAUCGUGGUGGGAGACAGUGUCAGGCGGGCAGUUUGACUGGGGCGGUCGCCUCCUAAAAGGUAACGGAGGCGCUCAAAGGUUCCCUCAGAAUGGUUGGAAAUCAUUCAUAGAGUGUAAAGGCAUAAGGGAGCUUGACUGCGAGACCUACAAGUCGAGCAGGGUCGAAAGACGGACUUAGUGAUCCGGUGGUUCCGCAUGGAAGGGCCAUCGCUCAACGGAUAAAAGCUACCCCGGGGAUAACAGGCUUAUCUCCCCCAAGAGUUCACAUCGACGGGGAGGUUUGGCACCUCGAUGUCGGCUCAUCGCAUCCUGGGGCUGUAGUCGGUCCCAAGGGUUGGGCUGUUCGCCCAUUAAAGCGGUACGCGAGCUGGGUUCAGAACGUCGUGAGACAGUUCGGUCCCUAUCCGUCGUGGGCGUAGGAAAUUUGAGAGGAGCUGUCCUUAGUACGAGAGGACCGGGAUGGACAUACCUCUGGUGUACCAGUUGUCGUGCCAACGGCAUAGCUGGGUAGCUAUGUGUGGACGGGAUAAGUGCUGAAAGCAUCUAAGCAUGAAGCCCCCCUCAAGAUGAGAUUUCCCAACUUCGGUUAUAAGAUCCCUCAAAGAUGAUGAGGUUAAUAGGUUCGAGGUGGAAGCAUGGUGACAUGUGGAGCUGACGAAUACUAAUCGAUCGAAGACUUAAUCAA
RNAcentral lists this ribosomal RNA (2923 nucleotides) under Staphylococcus aureus. RNAcentral's name for it is "23S ribosomal RNA". It matches the Rfam family "Bacterial large subunit ribosomal RNA". The record is from RNAcentral. Lineage: Bacteria; Bacillati; Bacillota; Bacilli; Caryophanales; Staphylococcaceae.